This 77-nucleotide transfer RNA is filed under the name Phytophthora kernoviae. RNAcentral describes it as "tRNA-Lys". The record is from RNAcentral. Lineage: Eukaryota; Oomycota; Peronosporomycetes; Peronosporales; Peronosporaceae.
UAAAUAAGUGUAUUGGGACUUGAACCCAAGACCAUCGGAUUAAAAGUCCGGUGCUCUACCAACUGAGCUAUACACUU